Molecule: ribosomal RNA, 422 nt
Filed under: uncultured bacterium
Lineage: Bacteria
Description: bacterial SSU rRNA
Rfam family: Bacterial small subunit ribosomal RNA
Source: RNAcentral
CCAGCAGCCGCGGUAAUACGUAGGUGGCAAGCGUUGUCCGGAAUUAUUGGGCGUAAAGCGCGCGCAGGCGGAUAGGUCAGUCUGUCUUAAAAGUUCGGGGCUUAACCCCGUGAUGGGAUGGAAACUGCCAAUCUAGAGUAUCGGAGAGGAAAGUGGAAUUCCUAGUGUAGCGGUGAAAUGCGUAGAUAUUAGGAAGAACACCAGUGGCGAAGGCGACUUUCUGGACGAAAACUGACGCUGAGGCGCGAAAGCCAGGGGAGCGAACGGGAUUAGAUACCCCGGUAGUCCUGGCCGUAAACGAUGGGUACUAGGUGUAGGAGGUAUCGACCCCUUCUGUGCCGGAGUUAACGCAAUAAGUACCCCGCCUGGGGAGUACGACCGCAAGGUUGAAACUCAAAGGAAUUGACGGGGGCCCGCACAAG